This 504-nucleotide long non-coding RNA is filed under the name Salmo salar (Atlantic salmon). RNAcentral's name for it is "lncRNA (ENSSSAG00000100783.1)". The record is from RNAcentral. Lineage: Eukaryota; Metazoa; Chordata; Actinopteri; Salmoniformes; Salmonidae.
CUGGACCUUUAGCUUCAGUCUCUUUUUGAGUGGCAAAAAAAAGAGUAAAGAAAUGUAUCCUGCCAAUAGAGGAUGUUGGAAAGUUAAGCCCGUAAGACCCAAAGACAGCUCACAUAAUAAAUUGGAACACUUAGGACACCAGGCUUGUUAAAACUUCAGCCUCUGUGCUAGAAUAUUACUAGUUCAGCUCUUCAGUGGUCCAAUAGUGAACUCAAAGAAAACGCUCACUGAAUAAAACAUUGUGUCUCCUAGUAACGAUUAUAGAGGUGACUGCUCAUGCAUCACUGGUCACAGUGAGAUUCUUCAUAUAGUGAUUCUUCUUCCUCCGUAGACAUUUGUUCACACACCUCACCAAGGUCCUUAUAACAGAAGGAACCGAGCCCCUUCACCAAGGUCCUUAUAACAGAAGGAACCGAGCCCCUUCACCAAGGUCCUUAUAACAGAAGGAACCGAGCCCCUUCACCAAGGUCCUUAUAACAGAAGGAACCGAGCCCCUACACCAAG